Molecule: long non-coding RNA, 1137 nt
Organism: Cornus florida
Lineage: Eukaryota; Viridiplantae; Streptophyta; Magnoliopsida; Cornales; Cornaceae
Exons: 2
Source: RefSeq, a predicted model, not a curated record
UCUAAAAGAAUUUAUUACUCUACAAAAACUCAAACUCUACCACCAAUUUCAAAAUAUUUCAGUAUUUAUUUAUUAAUAUAAAAAAAUAUUUAUUAAUUAACAUAAAAAGAGUUACAAAAUUGCUAUAUUUUGUAAGGUUUAUUAUUACAAGUUUCAAAUCAACAAUUAGAAAAAAAAGAAAAAAUGAAAAAAAAAAUGAGAGAAGUUACAAAACAUUCAUUGCCUUUUCCUAGUGUGUGUAUAUAUAUAUAUAUUUGUGUGUUUUUUUCCGGAAAUUCAGAUUGUAUUAGGAAAAAAAAAAAAUUAAUGAACAGGUAGAAAUGAAAAAUGGAGCGGACCACCAAACAGUCUUGGAGAGGCCAGUCAAAAACCCAAACAAAAGGCAACAUAAGAGAAGCAGCCCAACCCAUCUUCUUCAUUUAACCUUCUUCUCGGAGUCAAUAUUUUCGGGUAACAGAGAGAUUGCAACGGUUGCUUCGUUGUUUCUACGCAAGGUUGGUUGAUGAAGACGAAUCUGGAAGAUCACAGACAUGGAUAGCCCUAAUUGCAUCCUCUGAUGAGAUCGCAAAUGCUCUGUAAAAAAUUAUUUGAUUGGGUGGAUACAGAGCCUCUGAAAAUUCGAGCGUUGCGCUCUCUCUCCAUAGGGCACAUACAGUGGAAGAUAGAUCCAACUUGUUGAUGGAGUUAUAACAUCUUCUUCCAAUUCCAUGAUUCUUGCUGAGGGGACUCUAAAACCUCUUGUUCAGGACCACCCAAGAUUUGUCAGUCACGCCUCCAUCAUACUAGCGAUGGAGGGAAUUCGCGCCGGGAUGGAACAAGGCCGUUUUGAACAUAUACUACUACUAGUGUUGCUGGAAUGAAACGCAGGAUUCGGAACAGAAUUAUGCUGCUUGCUGGCCCUGAUAGUGGAAGAAUGCGGCAGCAACGCUUUCUCUCGUGUAGCUGUGAUAGCGGAAUUGAAUUGUUUGACUAUUUUUUGUUGACUUUUAUAAUGAAUAGCUUGCAUAAAUAAGAACUAGUUUGUAAAAUAUUAAUUAUUAGUUUUAUUAGGAAUCAAAGGGUUUAUGUCUAAACUGUGUAGAAAAAUAUGUUGCAUCAUUUUCCGUUGUUGAUAUAUCCAGAAAAAGUGUUAAAUAA